CUUAGGUCUUCAUCUCUUUCUGUAGGCAAGAUAUAUAAUCUUUAUUUUUUUCUACCCAUAAAAAUCGAAUUCAUCUUCGAAUGCUGUAUUAUACAAUAGUCAUAGUAGAAAAAGAAUGAGUAGUUGAUUGAUUUUGUCAAUUUGGUGAUUGAUAUCAAAUUGACAUUGAAAUUUGAAAUUUUUAACACAUGCAUGUCCUAGUAUUAAAUUUUUGUUUAGGUGAUAUGUGCCAACUUCACAUAUGAGUUUGACAUGUGAACUCUUAUGGGAUUUUUAAGAGUUCUUAUGUUUGACAAUUAUAUUUGUGGACAACACAUAUGUUCUGUGGCUCCACUGUCAAUCACCCAUUCAUUUCCUAGAUUUACUGUUGAAAUGAAACAGUAAGAAUUCGUACAUGUGUUUUCUAUAUUGUGAAUUGAUGAUGUUUCUUUGUUAGCUUUACCCACAUUUCCUGAAUGUUUGGGCUUUGGUCCAUUCUGUUUCUCUAGAAGUGUCAUUAAUUGAUCUAUUGUAAACCACAAAUCAAAAAAAUAAUAAAAACAAAUAAACUAUCGCAGCAGAGCCGCAGAUGAAAUUGCAACGGAAAUGGAAAAAAAAUAAAGAAAUAAAUCGAAAAGUGCAAACCGAAAUUUCGUAUAGGCGAUCCACGAUUGCUUAAAUCGGUUGCAGUCCACGAUUUCCUUCACCAAAAGACUAUCGCGAUCUGGAUAUUAGAAUUUUCAUCCGUCUGCAAGCAACAAUCUGGAAGUGCGUAUGAAAUCGAAGAUCGGAGCAAACUGCAGCUACUGGGAUGAUCGGAGAUUUGGAACGAUCUGGAAGCGAACUGCGUUGGUCUGAAGCGAACUGCGUUGAUCAGAGAUCUGGAACGAUCAGAAGAUUCGCAAAAUGCGUUGGUCUGCAGCGAACUGUAAGCGCGUCUGUAAAACCCUGCUCUGCACACUGGGUUUUAAUUCUCAUCAAACAAUUAACAUAGAUUCCUCUCAAAGGAAAGUUCACAUUAUGAAGUACUACAACUACUUUGUGUUCGGGGACCUAAUACAAUCUUUAUUACAAAAAAAAAAUAGUCAAUGACACGACUACUUCGCGUCACCCCCUACGCCGACACCUUGACGAGUCCUUUAUCUCCUACCCCUGCAGUUAGGCAAGGUUGCCUCCAUUCCCUGCACAGGUCAUGUACCCGUGAGUGACUACAUCACUCAGCAUGUAAAGUAUAGGUUCCAACAAUUAAUAACAAUAGCAAUUAACAUAAUACAUGUAUAUAUAAUAUUCAAUCUGAUGAUACCAAUCAAUCAUCAUUCAUGCCCCUAAAAAGAUUGGACGGCAACAAGAUACUAGGGAAAUCACUAUAUACAGCAAUAAAAAGAAAUAGAUUAGCUCCUAUGCUAAUCUAACAUGCAUUCCGGUAGUACUUUUCAUCACCUAGAGUAAAACGAUAAGAGUAUAGACCCCUAAUAAAAUGGACAGCAAGGAUUUUAAAACACUAAGGCUGUAAAAACACUAAACAACAAUUUUAAAAUGGCAGCAAAUACAAUAUAGACAUUCAUAGCGUAGAGGUAGCAAUCCUUCAUCACUUAAAUUAACCAAUCUGAUACCGAUCUAUCGGAAUUCUAAUUUGAGGGAACGAGUUCACCUGAAAAGAUUGGGGCUUCAGAUUCGUAAUAGAGAUUACGAGUGUCCGAAGCUGAAAGCAGCGGGGUUAUACCCCUGAAAUUGAGGCUUAGCCUCCCUAGAGAUCGCUGUUAAGC
This 1745-nucleotide long non-coding RNA is filed under the name Zostera marina. RNAcentral's name for it is "long non-coding RNA (ZMAR_LNC004948)". The record is from RNAcentral. Lineage: Eukaryota; Viridiplantae; Streptophyta; Magnoliopsida; Alismatales; Zosteraceae.